CGUACAUGCACGUCGCUAUAUAAGUGCAAUAAUCUUGGACACGACGUUAAACCCCAUUUCACCUCACCUAGUCAGUGACGUUUAUAAAGGAUUAUAAAGCAGAAAGGUUGUUCGUACUUUAAAAUGAGCAGCUCAUCACACGAAUAUUUCUUGUACAAUAUUAAUUUACCCUUGGCUACGGAAUCUAUUUCAAUUAGUAUUCUUGACACUAGACGUUAAAGACGGAGCAUAUUCCUGAUCAUGAUCGAUGCCAUUGGCAUUAUGAGGGGUAGCGUCGUUUGCCCGUCUGUGAAUGACGUCAUGAUGUGCUAUAAGAGCCAUACUACCCCAGUGGACCUACUGCUGGAUACAUUGUAUGUCUGAACUGGAGGACGGUCCUCGCCUGAUGCCACCGCCCCUGAUUACACCACAUGACACGUGAUCUCAUGUCUACCACAAAGAUGGAUGUAUCUUCAGCACAACAAAUUCAUAGGGUCCCAUUACCUCAGCUGUAACCUACACCCGACUUCCACACGUGACUCCCACACGUGACUCCCACACCUGCUUCUGUCUCAGAGCUCUUAAUACCUGCUAAGAUUUAUGGCUUGUCCUCCAAGUCUCAAGGUCAAGGUCCCACCUCCUUAUGCGACCUCUCAACGACCAGAUUGGACUUAUCGAAAGGGACUUCCUUCCUCCGCGAUGUAUCGGAACUCAAGGACUGAGAGUGUAGUAGUCUGGAUUCCCGCCCUUACUCCCCGUAAUCUCAAGGACGUGAAGCAACCCAUGCUUGCCUUAAAAGGCGGCUAUGCUUGUCAUAAGAGGCGACUAUCGGGUGGUCAGGAUCGCCGACUUGGUUGAUGCAAGUCAUCGCAUCCCAAUUGCGUGGAUCUAUGCUCAUUAUGGGAAUCACUUCCAUGGGUAUAUAUCAGUCUAUAAGUUACUUCACAUAAGUUCAGAGAAGCAAUGUUUGAAACAACUCGUCUACUUACACAAGAGACCCGUGAAGAAUCGGGGUAGAAUAGGUCUUCACCAGCCCAUGCUUGCCGUAAAAGGCGACUAUGCCUGUCGUAAGAGA
Haliotis rufescens (red abalone) is the source of this 1054-nucleotide long non-coding RNA. RefSeq lists it as uncharacterized. The record is from RefSeq and is a predicted model, not a curated record. Lineage: Eukaryota; Metazoa; Mollusca; Gastropoda; Lepetellida; Haliotidae. The transcript is spliced from 3 exons.